AAAAUAAAUAAAAUAAAGCUUCUAACUUUAUGUUAAGAUUGACAUCUUUUAUUUUU
This 56-nucleotide transfer RNA is filed under the name Melecta chinensis. RNAcentral describes it as "tRNA-Ser". The record is from RNAcentral. Lineage: Eukaryota; Metazoa; Arthropoda; Insecta; Hymenoptera; Apidae.